UGAUUAGCUUGUUGGCGGGGUAACGGCCCACCAAGGCGACGAUCAGUAGGGGUUCUGAGAGGAAGGUCCCCCACAUUGGAACUGAGACACGGUCCAAACUCCUACGGGAGGCAGCAGUGAGGAAUAUUGGUCAAUGGGCGAGAGCCUGAACCAGCCAAGUAGCGUGCAGGAUGACGGCCCUAUGGGUUGUAAACUGCUUUUAUAAGGGAAUAAAGUGAGUCUCGUGAGACUUUUUGCAUGUACCUUAUGAAUAAGGACCGGCUAAUUCCGUGCCAGCAGCCGCGGUAAUACGGAAGGUCCGGGCGUUAUCCGGAUUUAUUGGGUUUAAAGGGAGCGUAGGCCGGAGAUUAAGCGUGUUGUGAAAUGUAGACGCUCAACGUCUGCACUGCAGCGCGAACUGGUUUCCUUGAGUACGCACAAAGUGGGCGGAAUUCGUGGUGUAGCGGUGAAAUGCUUAGAUAUCACGAAGAACUCCGAUUGCGAAGGCAGCUCACUGGAGCGCAACUGACGCUGAAGCUCGAAAGUGCGGGUAUCGAACAGGAUUAGAUACCCUGGUAGUCCGCACGGUAAACGAUGGAUGCCCGCUGUUGGUCUGAAUAGGUCAGCGGCCAAGCGAAAGCAUUAAGCAUCCCACCUGGGGAGUAC
RNAcentral lists this ribosomal RNA (645 nucleotides) under uncultured bacterium. RNAcentral's name for it is "bacterial SSU rRNA". It matches the Rfam family "Bacterial small subunit ribosomal RNA", at positions 238 to 883 of the family's 1533-position model. The record is from RNAcentral.